RNAcentral lists this ribosomal RNA (433 nucleotides) under uncultured bacterium. RNAcentral describes it as "partial 16S ribosomal RNA". It matches the Rfam family "Bacterial small subunit ribosomal RNA", at positions 29 to 507 of the family's 1533-position model. The record is from RNAcentral.
AGCGAACGCUGGCGGCAGGCCUAACACAUGCAAGUCGAACGAACUCUUCGGAGUUAGUGGCGGACGGGUGAGUAACACGUGGGAACGUGCCUUUUGGUUCGGAAUAACUCAGGGAAACUUGUGCUAACACCGAAUGUGCCCUUCGGGGGAAAGAUUUAUUGCCAUUAGAGCGGCCCGCGUCUGAUUAGCCAGUUGGUUAGGUAACGGCUCACCAAGGCGACGAUCAGUAGCUGGUCUGAGAGGAUGACCAGCCACACUGGGACUGAGACACGGCCCAGACUCCUACGGGAGGCAGCAGUGGGGAAUGUUGCGAAAUGGGCGAAAGCCUGACGCAGCCAUGCCGCGUGAAUGAUGAAGGUCUUAGGAUUGUAAAAUUCUUUCAACGGGGACGAUAAUGACGGUACCCGGAGAAGAAGCCCCGGCUAACUUCGUG